Molecule: long non-coding RNA, 846 nt
Organism: Perognathus longimembris pacificus (Pacific pocket mouse)
Lineage: Eukaryota; Metazoa; Chordata; Mammalia; Rodentia; Heteromyidae
Exons: 3
Source: RefSeq, a predicted model, not a curated record
AUGCUUGGGGUCUUCAGCUUAGGCUUAGUUACAGUCUUCUGCAGGGGUUUAGUUGGCCUCUCCUGCAGAGUCUGAGUUGUGGUCUCCUCCAGAGGGUGAGUUGGGGUCUCCUGGGGAUGCUUAGUUGGGGUCUCCUCCAGAGGCUUAGCUGGGAUCUCCUCUACAAGCUGAGUUGGAGUGUCCUCCUGAGGAUGCGUUGGAGUCUUCUGCAGAUUCUGAGUUGAGGUCUCUUGUAAAGUCUGAGUUGGGGUCUUUUGCAGAUGUUGAGUUGGAGUCUCCUGCAUAUGCUGAGUAGAGGUCUCCUGUAGUGGCUGAGUUGGGGUCUUUUGCAGAUGUUGAGUUGGCGUCUCUUGCCGAUGCUGAGUUGGGGUCUCCUUCAGAUGCUGAGUUGGGGUCUCCUGCAGAUGCUGAGUUGACGUCUUUUGCAGAUGUUGAGUUGGGGUCUCCUGCAGAUGCUGAGUUGACGUCUUUUGCAGAUGCUGAGUUGGGGUCUCCUGCAGAUGCUGAGUUGGGGUCUCCUGCAGAUGCUGAGUUGACGUCUUUUGCAGAUGUUGAGUUGGGGUCUCCUGCAGAUGCUGAGUUGACGUCUUUUGCAGAUGUUGAGUUGGGGUCUCCUGCAGAUGCUGAGUUGGGGUCUUUUGCAGAUGUUGAAUUGGGGUGGUCUGCAGAUGCUGAGUUGGGGUCUUUUGUAGAUGCUGAGUUGGGGUCUCCUGCAGAUGCUGAGUUGAGAUCUCCUGUAGAGGCUGAGUUGGGGUCUCCUGCAGAUGUUGAGUUGGGGUCUUCUGCAGAGGCUGAGUUUGAGUCUCAUGGAGAUGCUGAGUUGAGGUCUCCUGCAGAAGCUGAGUU